AAAGAACAGAGAUAUUGGCACGGCUCAAUCAAAUCAUAAUAAAAUCAAAUCUGAUUGAACCAGGCCAAUAUCACUGUUACUGUU
RNAcentral lists this microRNA precursor (84 nucleotides) under Olea europaea subsp. europaea. Lineage: Eukaryota; Viridiplantae; Streptophyta; Magnoliopsida; Lamiales; Oleaceae. The record is from RNAcentral.